Molecule: ribosomal RNA, 518 nt
Filed under: uncultured bacterium
Lineage: Bacteria
Description: partial 16S ribosomal RNA
Rfam family: Bacterial small subunit ribosomal RNA
Source: RNAcentral
GACGAACGCUGGCGGCGUGCUUAACACAUGCAAGUCGAGCGAUGAACCUUUCAUGAAUUUUUCGGAAUGAUCGGAAGAGGAUUAGCGGCGGACGGGUGAGUAACGCGUGAGCAACUUGCCUUAAACAACGGGAUAGCCUCGGGAAACCGGGAUUAAUACCGUAUGAGACCCCGCCUUCACCUGAAGAAGAGGUUAAAGAUUUAUCGGUUUAAGAUGGGCUCGCGUCUGAUUAGCUAGUUGGUGAGAUAAAAGCCCACCAAGGCAACGAUCAGUAACCGGCUUGAGAGAGUGAACGGUCACAUUGGAACUGAGACACGGCCCAGACUCCUACGGGAGGCAGCAGUGGGGAAUAUUGCGCAAUGGGGGAAACCCUGACGCAGCAACGCCGCGUGAGUGAAGAAGGUUUUCGGAUCGUAAAGCUCUGUCAAUUGGGAAGAAGGCCUAUGGGUAAAUAGCCUAUGGGAUGACGGUACCUAAGAAGGAAGCUCCGGCUAACUAUGUGCCAGCAGCCGCAGUAA